CACCGUCAGGCCCUCGCCAACGUUCGCCCAAAGUUGGGGAGCGUCUCCAAAUAGGGAUGGAGAAACUGAGGCCUGCGGAGGCAAACGGACUUGCAGAGGGACGUGGCGCUGGGAAUGAGGAGGCUGCAAUAGGAACUCGGGCUGCAGCUCCACUGACCUCAGGAGUUCCUUGACUGUCUGCCUCCGGUCCACAGCCCCUGCCGGGGCGCCUGCCUCCCAUGCUGUAGGCUGCACACGACGCCUUUUCUCGGGACCCCAGGCCGGGCAGGGCCCCUGCGUGUGCUGGCCGUGCGCUCCCGCUCCGUCCUCCCCAGCGCUUUCCAGGAUGAACUGGUUAUUCGGGUGGAGGGCUGCCCUCCUGGUGAGGAGUCCGUGGCUGCGGGGACUCUCACUCACUGGUUGCUAGUGCCCAGCCAGGGCGGGUUCUCGUCAUUGCUCGUGGAAGGAAGGAGUGGGCCCGUGAACGGCUGGAUGGAUACGUGAUGAGACACCUUGCCCUCAGCCUGAGCAUGUGCAUCGAAGAGCAGAGUUUACAGACCGGAAAGGCUCUGAUGGAAUCUCAACUCUGUCAUCCGCUUGCUGAGUGACCAGGAGCAAGACUCUUCUCCUUGAGUCUCAGUUUUCUCAUCUGUAAAAUGAAGCUGUCAAGUAUCAGAACAGCAAGUAUCAGAACAGCAAGUUCAAGGGAAGGCAGAGGAGCACCUGGGGUGUGGGCUGGGGCCUCCUGAGGAGGUAAAGUCUGAGCUGAGACCCGAAGGGUCAAUAAAAAGCCCCCAGGAGUGCUGGGGAAAGGGGUUUCCAAGUAUCAGAACAGCAAGUGCAGGGGCCUGGAGGAGGAGCCGAGGGGAGCACCUUCGUAGAGAGUAGCAAGGAGUCAUUCAGAUAACGGGGGAGGAAGCAAAGCUACUGAGCACCGAGCCUGUAGUGAUUGCUCAGUAAGUAAGUGCCAGCUGUAAUAAUAGUCAUCGUUACUGUUCUCCUUGAAACAGCAAGGGAGCUUUGCUCUGCACGUUUAUGUCAAAAUCCCCUGGAUUGGCCACUCUUCUUGACUAUUGGACAGGUCAGGAAUGGCUGAUAAAAGCAUU
Molecule: long non-coding RNA, 1085 nt
Organism: Eptesicus fuscus (big brown bat)
Lineage: Eukaryota; Metazoa; Chordata; Mammalia; Chiroptera; Vespertilionidae
Exons: 3
Source: RefSeq, a predicted model, not a curated record